AUAUAAGCACUACAACUAAACAAGAUUCUAUCUGUACUUUCUCCUUACAUUACAUAUAAUUCUCAUUAAUCAAUGCUAGUUUGCUCAUAAGUUUUUCAGACUUAAGCUACAAAAGCCGUUAUCCCCAAAAGCUUGGCAUACUGAUUGUCUCUUCCUUCCCUAAAAAGAAGCCCUCAACAUUUGCUGCAGCGAGGGAACUAAG
This 202-nucleotide unclassified non-coding RNA is filed under the name Hevea brasiliensis (rubber tree). Lineage: Eukaryota; Viridiplantae; Streptophyta; Magnoliopsida; Malpighiales; Euphorbiaceae. The record is from RNAcentral.